RNAcentral lists this ribosomal RNA (429 nucleotides) under Actinomycetes bacterium. RNAcentral describes it as "Actinobacteria bacterium partial 16S ribosomal RNA". It matches the Rfam family "Bacterial small subunit ribosomal RNA", at positions 355 to 776 of the family's 1533-position model. Lineage: Bacteria; Bacillati; Actinomycetota; Actinomycetes. The record is from RNAcentral.
UAGGGAAUCUUCCGCAAUGGGCGAAAGCCUGACGGAGCAACGCCGCGUGAGUGAUGAAGGUCUUCGGAUCGUAAAACUCUGUUAUUAGGGAAGAACAAAUGUGUAAGUAACUAUGCACGUCUUGACGGUACCUAAUCAGAAAGCCACGGCUAACUACGUGCCAGCAGCCGCGGUAAUACGUAGGUGGCAAGCGUUAUCCGGCAUUAUUGGGCGUAAAGCGCGCGUAGGCGGUUUUUUAAGUCUGAUGUGAAAGCCCACGGCUCAACCGUGGAGGGUCAUUGGAAACUGGAAAACGUGUGUGCAGAAGAGGAAAGUGGAAUUCCGUGUGUAGCAGUGAAAUGCGCAGAUAUGUUGAGGAACACCAGUGGCAAAGGCGACUUUCUGGUCUGUCACUGACGCUGAUGUGCGAAAGCGUGGGGAUCAAACAGG